AGCCAUCAAAACACAAAAUAUUUUAUUUGUGACUCCAACCUAGACUUUACUUUUUAGUUCAAAAAAUUAAGAAAGAUGGUGAGGAUUACAAUCAAGAUAUCAUUUGUAAUGAUUCUUCUCGUUUUAGUAGCCACCAAUGGAUUUGGUCUCCCAACAACACCAACAAAUGUGAUGCCUCAAAAGGAUUGCCCUGGUGGUUGCAAUUAUCUAAUAAAUGCAUGUUAUCCACUAUUUCCUGCGUGUAUUAAUGGCAGGUGUACAUGUGCAAAGUUAGACAAUAAUAAUGCAAGCACAAAACAAGAACGCCAGUAUGUCAUAGAUGGUGAAAAAGGAAACUAGUAGCUACAUGCAUACCAUUAGAAAUAAUGCUAUAUUAGUUUACCUAUAUUUUAAUAAUAAUAAUCUUGGAAUUUAAUAAUUUGUUAUGACU
Arachis ipaensis is the source of this 430-nucleotide non-coding RNA. NCBI's taxonomy places the organism in Eukaryota, Viridiplantae, Streptophyta, Magnoliopsida, Fabales, Fabaceae. The record is from RefSeq and is a predicted model, not a curated record.